CAUCGCCACGGUAACACCAGCACCUCGAGUGGUCAGGAGGUUUAUUGGGCCUAAAGCAUCCGUAGCCGGUUGCAUAAGUUUUCGGUUAAAUCUAUGCGCUUAACGUAUAGGCCGCCGAAAAUACUGUGCAGCUAGGGAGUGGGAGAGGUACACGGUACUCGAUAGGAAGGGGUAAAAUCCUUUGAUCUAUUGAUGACCACCUGUGGCGAAGGCGGUGUACCAGAACACGUUCGACGGUGAGGGAUGAAAGCUGGGGGAGCAAACCGGAUUAGAUACCCGUGUAGUCCCUGUCUCUUAUACA
RNAcentral lists this ribosomal RNA (301 nucleotides) under uncultured bacterium. Its description in RNAcentral is "partial 16S ribosomal RNA". It matches the Rfam family "Archaeal small subunit ribosomal RNA", at positions 460 to 761 of the family's 1478-position model. The record is from RNAcentral.